GAGUGGGGAGGAGAGAGGGACAGAGAGCCUGCUUCUUUAAAGGAGCAAAGCGGGAGAGGAGAGGAGCCACUUACACGAGUGUAAGCGGCUCCUGUCCGGUUGGUUCCUUUAAAGCAAGCAGGCUCUCUGUCUCUCUCUCCUCCCCACUC
RNAcentral lists this microRNA precursor (149 nucleotides) under Podarcis lilfordi (Lilford's wall lizard). Lineage: Eukaryota; Metazoa; Chordata; Lepidosauria; Squamata; Lacertidae. The record is from RNAcentral.